CAUUGAUUCUCUCACCUUAAAAGCAACAUCGGCUCCUUUAGGUUUAACCGUGUAGAUUCCACUAUCCGACAGAUUGUUUUUUGUCCAGAUGUCAAAACAGUCAAAUCCUGCAGAACCAAGAAAAUUCGCUAUGACAAUGAGUCACAUGACACACAAGAAAUGACAAUGAGUCACAUGACACACAAAUACAAUGUAGAUAAAAGAAAAAUGUUCCCCCUGUAUAUGGAGCUAUGCAUGCUAUCUUAGAAAGAAAUGACAAUGAGUCACAUGACACACAAAUACAAUGUAGAUAAAAGAAAAAUGUUCCCCCUGUAUAUGGAGAUUAACAGACCAGGUGUAAAUUUCUCCCAGUCGACACUUCCCACCCAUGGGUCUGCAGCCUCUCGUCAGCUAAUCAUUAUGUUAUUAUUUAUUUUCAUAUUUUAAGUUUGAGUUCCCCAGUAUCGGUUUUAUAUGUGGCGGAUUUUAUAUGUGGCGGAUUUUAGUCGUGACUCAGACCCUCCAGCGGUUCCUGUGAAAAAACAGGUGAGUGCCGCAUGCAAUAACUUGGGGGGUCCCCAGCGGCAGGACCCCUGCGAUCCGAUAUCUUGUCCCCUAUCCUUUGGAUAGGGGAUAAAAUGUCUAGGGUGGGAGUACCCCUUUAAGGCUUUUUUAAGGCAAUCUUUGACUCUAAGCCAGAAGUGGAUCCUGCAGGUUGGAGAAGUAUAAAUCCUUCCUUUAUAUUUCUCACUCCUCAUGGACCCCUUUUUCAAAAUUGGCACAUACCUAAAAAUUCUCCAAAAUUGAUGAAAAGUGCUACCAAAAAAAUAGCAAAAAACAAAACAAAACAAACAAAAUAAAUUUGUAGAUAUAAUAUAGAUUUCCAUAACAUCUUUAGUUAAUAAAAAAGAAAUUAAAAAAUCUUCCUUGAAAAAUACUACAAAAAGCACACCAUUUUUUUAAAUUACCAUGUAUGAAACCCCCCUUAAACUGACAGAACUUACCAGUGUGAUUCGUUGACACAGAACUAGGAGCAAACACCGCAGCAGGUUCCUCGUCUUCAU
Molecule: long non-coding RNA, 1043 nt
Organism: Hyla sarda
Lineage: Eukaryota; Metazoa; Chordata; Amphibia; Anura; Hylidae
Exons: 4
Source: RefSeq, a predicted model, not a curated record